AUGGAAAGACCUAUUUUCUCUGAUGAUUGUUUUGAAGUGGCAGACCAUGUGAACAACUUGGGCACCAUCGCGGGCUCGGGCACCAAGGAGUUCAUGGAGGUGCUGCAGGGCUGGGGCCGUGGCUGCGCCAACAGCACCGCCGCGUCGACGACGAAGGUGGUGACCGCGGCGGCGAGCGGCGCGAGUUGGUGGCUGCGGGACUGGACGGCACGGCUCAUAUAUGUGCUUCUGACUAAUCCAGCUUCUUUUGGUCUAGCUGGGCAUUACUUUGAGUUCAUAUAUGUGCUUGUCACUCCAUAG
RNAcentral lists this ribosomal RNA (300 nucleotides) under Triticum aestivum (bread wheat). Its description in RNAcentral is "partial small subunit ribosomal RNA". Lineage: Eukaryota; Viridiplantae; Streptophyta; Magnoliopsida; Poales; Poaceae. The record is from RNAcentral.